RNAcentral lists this long non-coding RNA (341 nucleotides) under Bos taurus (domestic cattle). RNAcentral's name for it is "long non-coding RNA NONBTAT009392". The record is from RNAcentral. Lineage: Eukaryota; Metazoa; Chordata; Mammalia; Artiodactyla; Bovidae.
GGAGGGAUUCAUCCGUAGGAAAAAUCUCAUAUUUAAUUAAUUUUGACCAGGUGUUUCAUCAUAAGGCAAAUCAUGUUCCAAUUGUGAUAGAAAAUUUUAUACAAAAGAUUAUAGAAAAUACUCUAUAUUUAAAACAAACAUGAUCACUUUGGCUUAUGAAAGUUUAAAAUAUAUUAAAUGGAAUGAUUACAGAACACAAAAUAUAUGUGAAGAAAAUUAAAAGUAUAUUAUGGUAUGUCUCAUAGUGACCCACAUAAUAAGCACUAUUUAUAUUUUAGAAUUAUAAAUGUGAAUUUAAGUUCAAUAUCAAACACAUGUUUAGAAUGCCAUUCACCAAACUU